This is a non-coding RNA of Styela clava, 3097 nucleotides long. The record is from RefSeq and is a predicted model, not a curated record. Lineage: Eukaryota; Metazoa; Chordata; Ascidiacea; Stolidobranchia; Styelidae.
CUACUUUUAGAAAAAAGUAUGAAGCAAUGUAUAUAUUUAGAAACUAGGCAUUGUUCAAUUAUAGCAAGUGCAUUGGUUUGACUUGAAAUCCUCCCAGUUUGUAAAUCCACUUGUUCAAAGUUAAAAAUGUUUAGAUAUUCCGUAAUAGUUGCUUUCAUCUGCAUUUUUGGAGGAGUUUGCAAAGGAAGUUUAUUUGACACGUUCUGUGGCAACCGUGAAACAAAUCAAAUUCUGAAAACGGAUGAAAACAUAAACUAUUACGAAGCAGAAAAUGUCUGCAAAGGACGUGGAAUGGAAAUAGGAAACAUUUGCAACGCCGAGCAGGACCAGUUACUGCAGUCUCAAAUUUCUGCUAUAAUACCGGAUGGUUCCUCAUCCCUUAGAAUUUGGACGGGAAUGAAAACAACCAGGAAUGAUAGAAUUCUUUUGAAAAAGUGACAAUCCACCUAUUACUGACUACCAUUUGAACAUAAGACUGUUUGAAUUAUGGAAUCCGGCGUUUAAGAGGGGAAAACGUACCGAAGGAAACACAUUAUGUAUCAUGUCUCAAAAAAGAGUAUCGGCACCGGGCUGUCAAAGAUGGAGACUCAAACGCUGAAUUAAUUAUGUUUGAUCCUUUAAAUACCGCCGACGGUGUUCUAUGUCGAAUAGUGCAGUAAAAGCCUUUGGACUACCUAUUCAGGUUAAUUACAUUAGACUACCUUUACUUGGCAUCUAGAUUAUCAUCAUCAAGAAAUUUCUCAGAAACGUUUUUGUGCUAAGAGAGUCGAUGUUUUCUAUCGUGUAAUGAAUAAAAACGAAGAAUUUGAGAACGAAGUGUUUUUAUUAUGUAUGAAUGUAAGAAGAGUAGUAAAUUUGCUAUUUUUCGCCAAUAAUAUCAAGUCGCAAGGACUAAAAAUGUAAUUGGUGCAAUGACAGGAUGUCCGUUAUUACCCAGUUUGUCUUAUAACUUAAUAGCUCGUGAAUUAAACAAAUAGGCAACUUCUUGGCAGUAGGCUAAUUUAAUAAUUUCAUCGUAAAAGUAAUAGGCUAAUUUUUCUUCGUAUUUGAAUCACUUUCACUCAUUUUAACAUUGAUUUGUUUUCAUGCACCGAUAAAUUUUAAAUUUGAUAGCCACUUCAAUAUUCCAUUUAUGCUACAAAUGCUGAAUAUUUUUCAUUUUUUAAAUUUACCAGUCAUUUAAAGUCGUAGUUCCAACUUCUUCUGUGGAUUCAUAAUGAAAUUCAUUAAUUUACCGUGGAUUUGGUUUCGUAUUCAAUAUAUCUGAUUGGCGCGUUGGGUUGGUUACUCUGCGAUGUGUUCACUGUUUUUUCGCGUAAGACGCUCAUUUGAGGAAGGAUCUGUUUUUUCGUUAUCCGGUCCUGUAUGAAGCUAUGAGCCUUGCGGAUAUGACAAGUGCUAAAAGAGUCCAUUUCUUGUGCGAAUGGGAGGGCCUGGGUUUAUGUCAAAUUUGAUAAAUAUAAUUUAACUUUGUAAUAGUGAAUUGGCUUCCAAAACACUUUAUUAAAAACAUGCGGUAAUUUUUUAUAUUUUGGAGCAUUUAAAUAUAUGCACAACAUUAAGUAGAUAUUUGGCUUUAGAGAGAAAAUAUCUGAGUAAAAAAUAGAGCAGAAACUGUAUACACGCAUGCAUUUGCUUACUUGGAUUGUAUUUUAACUCGUAUAUACUACUGUGAAUGACAGUGACGAUGCAUCACUAGACUGAACUGUGGAUGAGAACUAAUUGCGAUCAUAAUCACCGACCCGAACAAUCAAAUUCCAGCUGGCGUGCAAUAAGCUUUAUUUUAUUCAUAGAUCGCUUCCCCAGUAAUAAAUUGUGCUGGGGAUGUUAUUUUUAUGGUAUGUUUUUAGAAUGUAUUUAUUAUCUCCCUCUCUAUAUGUAUUACUGUACAAAUAUAACACAGACGUCGCGGAUUCGGUAGUCGAUUGCAUUACUGUAAUGUCAUCCGGGUAUCGUUAUUGACUGAUUUAUACGGCGGAAAAACAAUCGAGACUUGAGUAACGUUUUUGCUGGUUGUUUGAUUUAUUUUCCAACAAUGGUAGGACAUCAAAGUACAUUACUUAGAUUUAUUUGAAGGGGAAAUGAUGCCUGGUGGAUGCUGUGCCAUAUAUGCUCAGUCUCCAAACUUUGUGAAGUCAGUGAACUCUAACGUAAAGAUAGAUAUUAAGGAUAUCUAAUCCAAAUUUCUUUUACAUGUUGGAGCACACCAACGGGGUUUUGCAACAUUGGGUCACUAUAAAAAUAUAUAUAUAUGAUCAAAUCCAAACAGAAACGGAAGAAAGAAUAGAAAAUCUUGAACUUGAUAUAAAACUUGAAGGAGUUCAAAUUGUUGUUUAAAAGCUACUCCGGAUAGGCGGAUAUCAAUCCUACGAAAUGAGAAACUCAGGACAUUCUACUGACGACUAGGACCCUACUGAUGUAAUGGCGAUGGAAGUGAAAAAACUUCUACAACUCGAAGAAAUACCGGACCACGAAGUGGAAUUUGUUGUAACUCAUCAGUAUCCACUAAUCGUAUUUACUAAGGGAUAAAUAUAUUCAAAAUAUUCAUAUUUCAAUGUCUUAUUGAUUGGUGUAUUGAUAAUUAUUUUCGUCCUCAAAUUCGAGUCUGAUUUAAUCAUAUUGUGCGCUGCUCGGCCCAUUGCAGAAAUGAUUCGGAGAAAUGACACCGGUUAUGUUAGUGCGCUACACCGCUAAACAUUACAAUCACCAAGUUAUUCCUUGUAUGACGUGUCACCGCGCUUUUAUCGUACUUAAUGUAUGCUAUCACUUUAAAAUUUAAAUAUUUCCUCCUUUCCUUUGUCAUAUUACAUUUAUAAUUGUUUUCGUGAUCAGUGCCUUUUUGGUGGAGUUAUAUGUGUAAAAUAUCAUUUUUCAGUCUACUAAAUUAUCCUUGCUUACCGAAAAUAUUAAAUUUCGGAAUGAUUGAUCAACGAUGAUUGAGCAACAAUGAUUAUACACGAAUCAAAUUAACAUCACAGUGCUUUGUAUGAAUAACGCGUAGUAUAGCUGAAUUCAUGAUUAUUUAUUCCAGCACCGAAAAUAAUAAUUCUCGUAUUGUAGCUCUUUGCAUCUUUAGUUCAGUUAAAUCUUGCACAGA